AGAUGUCUUUGGCAGAAUCCAGUCCCUCAGUUCAGCCAGCCCUAAGCCCUCAGGAGCAGGAGGAUCUUGCUCUAGCCCAGGCUUUAGCCGUCAGUGAAGCAGAAUACCGACGUCAGCAGCAGAGGCAACAGGCAAGAGACUCCAAACAGUCCAACUGCAGCCUUUCUUAGUCUCCAAUUAGGUUUUUUCUGUUUGUUUUGUUUUAUGUCAUUUAAAACAUGAAUAUCCUGGAGAUCAGUGAAGACGAGCCGUCUGAAGUUGGGACGUUACCACCUUCUACAACACAAGCACAUGCUGUACUUUCCCAGCGAGAUGUUAUUUUUAACCGACGAUUUGCUUUGUAUAUAUUUUAUAUGCUGAUCAUAACAAAUGCAUUAUAUUAACACGUGAUUGUUGAAUAAAUUAUUUCCAAGGCGUAGGAGGAGAUGCUUUGAAAUUGUUUGCGGUGACGACAUACUUAGCACCUUAAUGGUAACGGAUUUACGGGAUGGUGUAUAACAGCGGUCGCCGAACUGUUUAUUGCAAUAAAAUUACAAUGUCAUAAUUAUUAAUCAUGUCACAAUAUAAAAUUUAACAGUGUAAUAUUAAAAGCUAAUAUUUACACACAGGUAUAAACUUACUAUAUUGCAGAAUCUGUUCCUUCAAAAUAAUUAACUUCAGUAGAAAUGACUGAAUUAAAAAAAACUGAUAUAAAAUCUAUUUAAAUGUAACAGUUGUAACAACGGGUUAGUACAGCAGAGGGCAGUCGUUUCUAAUGGCUGAUUAUUCAUUGGUUUAGAAACCUUGUUUUCCAAUUAUGUUACAAUACGUUAUCUACGAUGAAUCAGAUGUAGAUGACCAAACCAACAUUUCAUUUUUGCUUUGUAAAUGCUACAGAUUAUGUGAUCUGAUAACAUGCAUGCUGUCUGAAAUCCAAUUUCUGCCUUCUCCGUUUCAGGGUGGAUGCUUAUUUUAUAUCACUCUGCUCUGAUUAACAGUGGACAAAUCAUUGACAUUGACAUUUUACAAGUAAUUGACUUAAUAAGCUGUCUAAAUAACUGAACUGAAAACAAAUGUGCUCUCUGAAGCUCGGACUUGGAAAAGAACAUUCGCCAAAGCAGCAUGUUCAAGCUGCCCUCCUACUGGGCAGCUUGAAAGCCUGUCGAUAUGGUGUUUUGAUGUUGCGUGGAAAAUAGGAACCCCCCCCCCUUCAUAACAAACGCUGCGAGGGUUGGAAGAGAGAAAGAUAGGGCAGGAUGGGGAAGAGCCAUCGACAGAUGGACACUUGUGAUUAAAGAUGGCGGCUCUCUCGACUGCAGACCGCGAAGGACUUUGUUCGAGCCGAGAAAAGCGGCGGGAGCUGUCUGGGAUCCAGCACGAGAAAGCCAAGAGCAAGACAGGAAGGUGAAUCAGUAGGAACACGUGGACCACAAAGCAAAUUGCAUAUAGUCGAGAGGAGUUUGCAGAGAUUUCCAUGAUGUCGACUUUAAAGCAGACAGACGACUGCACGAUGGAAAAUUCAAGAAGAGGAGAGUCGGUUGGAGGACUGCUGUGGAAUACAACAGGACGCAAGGCGUUGUUCAGCAGUCCCACAUGUAGAGAUCUAGAUCUAACUGUUGUGCAGUGUGGGCUCCACUGGGACGUGAUUCUCCAAUGCUGGAACAAUGAGCAUAAGGGGCAAAAGGGACUACCUGUCAGGCCUCGGAGGCAGUUUUACUGAAGAUGCUCCCAGACCUCCAGUCCCUGGAGAGGAAGGUGAGCUGGUGUGCAGCGAAGAACGCCAAUGUAGCAACCUCAGCUUCUCCUCAAGAAAUGAGACCCUUAAAUGCGACGCAUCGGUGGCAACACCCCGGCGACCUGACCUGGACCUGGGUUAUGAGCCGGAAGGAAGUGCCUCUCCAACGCCACCCUUCCUGAAGUGGGCAGAGUCUCUUCAUUCCCUCCUGGAUGACCAGGAUGGCAUCCAUCUGUUUAGAAUGUUUCUCAAGCAGGAGGACUGUACUGAUAUGCUUGACUUCUGGUUUGCGUGCAGUGGUUUUCGCAAACUGGAAGCCAACGAGAGCAACGAGGAAAAAAAGGGUAAACUUGCGAAAGCUAUCUACAAGAAGUUCAUCCUGGACACAAAUGGGAUUGUGUCCAGACAGAUCAAACCGGCAACCAAAUCCUUCAUCAGAGACAGUUUAAUGAAGCUUACCAUCGAUCCGGCAAUGUUUGACCAGGCUCAGACCGAGAUACAGACUAUUAUGGAAGACAACACCUACCCUUUGUUCCUUAAGUCUGACAUUUAUUUGGAAUACACACAGACAGGAGGUGAGAGCCCCAAGCCCCUCAGUGAUCAGAGCUCAGUUUCUGGGGAUGGAAAGGAGCUGUCAGGUUAUUUACCAACUCUAAAUGAAGAUGAAGAGUGGAGAUGUGAGCAUGAGUCAGAGGAGCAGCUCAAAGAUGACCCCACAGCAGGCAACCAGCUUACCCAAAGGUUUCUAAUGGAGACGGCGCCACAGUCGAUUACCAGCGGCACAAGAGACAGGCAUGCACCAUGUCGGGAGACCCUCACCCCGUACCACGUCAACACUGGUUACACAAUAGCUGUUCCCACCAGCACCAAUGACAGUGAGCAGCAGAGUAUGUCCAGCGACGCAGACACAGUUUCCCUCACUGACAGCAGUUUAGAUGGGAUGCCACCGUGCACGCAGCGAAAACAGCACCGCAGGGAGAUGCAGGAAAGUGCCAAAGCAAAUGGGCGAUUGCCACUACCUCAUAUUCCACGCACAAGUAGGAUUCCAAAGGACAUUCACGUGGAGCCAGAGAGGUUUGCAGCACAGCUGAUCAGCAGACUGGAAGCGGUGCAGCUGGAGAGAGAGGCUCAAGACAAACUGGAGGAGCGACUGAAGAGAGUCCGAUUGGAAGAGAACGGCGAGGAAGCCACGACGUCUACAGCUACAGGAUUAUCUGGUCACAGGUUCCCAUCUGCUGUUUAUCCUCAGAACUACAACUCUCGCUGUGCUGACAUCACCCACACUAUCGCUCUACUGCGGGACGCACAUGAUGAGAACCCAGAAAGCAUCCUGGAUGACCACGUUCAGCGGGUCAUGAAGACCCCUGGCUGCCUGUCUCCCAGAGCAGGAUGGCGUUCACCCAGGUCGUGCUCUCCUGACAGAUUUCCUGCGGGGAAAGCGACAGGACCUGGAAAGUAUUUGUCAUCAAGCCAGGGCAAACAUCCAUCCAGGCAUCCAGGCCUGAAGGGAGAAUCUAGCCACCACCACCAGCACAAACAUGUGCAUCACAUCCACCACGCAGGCAGUGGGAAGCCCAGGGAGCAGGCGGAAACGGAGGCUACGGUGCGCGUACAGUCUCGCAGUUCUGCCGACGGCAUGGGCUCUAAUCCUUUGGAGCAUCCAAGUAUCAAAGGUAAGAGAGAGUACAGGAAAUUUGAGUCUGCGCGGCCUUACGACACAACGGGGAACGGAGAAGAGGUGGAGAAAAACCAGAAGAUUCUUUUGUGGCUCAUGGAGGGAGAAAAAGAAAUGGUUCAGCAUAAAAAGAGCCCUUAUGGGAGUACCACUGGGUCCAAGAGGAUCACAGGCCACGAGUCUUUCCGUCAUAGCUCAGUGGACAGAUGUGGCUCAGUGUACCCGUGUGUCAGCAGCACCCAGCUGAGGAACGAUGUGCAGCCGUCACAUCCCUUCAUCCAGGAUCCUACCAUGCCACCUAACCCAGCUCCCAGCCCUCUUAUCCAGUUGGAGGAGGUUUGCCGGCGUCUUGAAGAGCAAACAAUGAAGUCACGGGUUUUACAGACGAAGCAAAAGUACGUAAUGGAGGUGAUCCAACGGGGCCGCUCCGCCGCCAGGCCUAAAGUGUUCCCUCCACUCAACGUGGUGCCAGCCGUCUCUGACAGCGAGCUCUCGGAGCCUGAGCAUAAAGGCACUAAAAAGCCGCCAUGUGAAAACACCGUGGUGGCGUACUACUUCUGUGAAGAACAGAUUCCGUACAGGACGUCUGUGAAAGAAAGAGUUGUCACACUGGGCCAAUUCAAAGAACUGUUAACAAAGAAAGGAAACUACAGGUAUUAUUUCAAGAAAGUGAGCGACGAGUUUGACUGUGGUGUUGUGUUUGAGGAGGUACGUGAGGAUGAUGCUACGUUGCCCAUCUUUGAUGAGAAGAUCGUCGGUAAAGUCGAGAAGAUUGAAUAAAGUGGAAAGUUGAAAAAUGGAGGAGAGAGAAAAUGGAGAGAAUUUGGAUGGCAAACAGGAAGUCUUGUUUUCACGGAGGAGGAAUGGAAGGAUAGAUACAGGAGGGAUGUCGCGUUACACUGGACGAAGAACCUGUUUUUUUCCUCUCACUUCUAAUGUAGACGUUUAAAGAGCGUAUACAGUAGAUGAAGAACAAAAGUUCUCCUGAAGCCUCAUAUUUUUGAUAUGUGAAACACUAAUGUCCGGUCUUACUGAAGCAUGAAUGUGGCUCCUCUUGAAGAUUUCCUACAGCGCUUUGCAGCACCGAGAGGCAGAACAAUUAUAUACUCUUCCACCAGGUGGCAGCCAUAAAAACUAAAAAGGACGCUUUGAACUCUCUUUUCAAUUCCUGUGAGUAUAUCAGCAUCGUGUUCAACUAAAAAGGCUGAGUAAGUAACCUGUGACUAAAUUGAAACUAGAAGAUUUUGUUUUUUUGGAUGGCAGUGGGAUUUUUUUUCAAAUGUCAAUUAUGUGCCGUGGCUCAAACAAGGUUGGAUAACACUGAUCUACAGUGGCUGUUUCUUUUUCUGUGUGUUUGUUUGUGCUCAGCUCCCUGUGGACUCAAACUCCUCUCAUUACUCUAUUGAACUCGCUUUGUAGCGUUCAGUUGAGUUGCACUUUUGUUUUCUUUGUGUUGCAUAACCACAGUCUCUGUCAGAGAGAGCAGCCUGCAGAAGUUCUGAAGCACAAGACACUGUGACACAACAGAAAAACAGAGACUCUCGCUGAGUCUACCGCAGUCCCCUAGAACCGCUGUGGCAUAAAUCGUUUCUACAAAGCUCGUAUUCGGUGUCUGAACUUCAAUUUUAGAAUUAUCGCACACACAGGUCAGAAGGUUGAUUGCGUCAUCCAACCCAAAUGAUUUAAAAUAUUCAGAUGAAUAUGCAGAUUUUGAGGGAUUCAGACUGUGCAUUUUUAAUAAUGGAAGAAAAACGUGGCCAAACACUGUGACAUGAAUGUGGGUUGCAUUAAGGCAGAUACAUUUUACUGUAUAGUCAAUGAUUUGGAAUUCAGGCAGUCCACCUUAAUUGUGAACGAAAUGUAGCAGGACAUUCAAACGAUACGUUUAAUAUGAGAUUCAGAAGCAAUACUACAGUAAUAUUCCAAAUACGACGGACUGAUAAAUAUCUAUGCAAAGUUGGAUUUUAAUUUAGCUUGUCUUUGCAUUUGAGAUUAAUAGGUUCAAAAUGCCAACAAAGGCGGAAAUGAAACAUUAGGUUAUUAUUGACAUAUCUGACACAUUAAUAAACCGGAUUGAUUUUUUUUUUUUUUUUUUUUUGAUGAUGCAAGCUAUACUAGUACAAUGGAGAUGACUUGCAUGUUAUGUGGUAUAAUUGAAUACUCAUAAUACUUCUAUCAAAUUAUCAGGAGACACUUAGUCAAUAUCACUUAUGUGAUAUAAUGUGUUUUCUGGAUUGUCUUGAUUGCAGUAUAAAAUAUAAAACGUUGAACAAAUGCCUCCACACAUGGGUCCUCCGUUUCAACAAAAACAGAGGAUUUAGUUAAAAACAAACAACCUUGUUAUUGUUUGUUGGUUGGAUGCUGGGGUUUAACAUGACCUAUCCUAGAACUAUUCUGCAGGACUCCUGAGAGAUAGCGGUGCCUAAAUUGUAUUAUUUUUUAAGAUGAAUGUCAUAAUAAUAUUUCCAUUAAUAAUAUUAUUUAUUUAUGUGUAUUUAUUGAAUUUCUCUACAACACUUACAUUCGGCCUUUGAUGCACAGAAGGGACAACUCUGCAAAUUUUGUACAUAUCCUAUUGCUAUAAAUAUAAUUUUUUUUAUAACUAAGUUUCAAACUUAAUUUAAGUUAAAUUGUUGAAUAUUGUUUAAAUUGUCUAAUAUUUGCCUUCUUGCACUUGCAUUACACAAACAAGUAGUUCUAAGUUUCACCACUGUUGGGGAAAAGAGAAAAUACAAGUGGAGGGCAACAUUGCUGCAGACAAGCAUCCCAUAAUGCAGUGUUUCCUAAACUUUUUUUUCUGGGGACCCGUAUUUAAAAAGUCACAAACCUUCGCGACCCAAAUCAAUAGACAUUAGUUGUAAACUCCUGGGAAACGUGAUGCGAGGCAACCCAAAAGAAAUCUCGUGUGACCCACCUGAGGGUCACGACCCAGUCUUUGGGAAACAAUGCUAUAAUGCACAUUUGAAAUGAUGAUGAAGUGUUGUUUUAUUUUAUCUUUGAU
RNA transcript from Cynoglossus semilaevis (tongue sole), 6390 nucleotides. It is a transcript of the gene named axin 1, with no coding region annotated. The record is from RefSeq and is a predicted model, not a curated record. Lineage: Eukaryota; Metazoa; Chordata; Actinopteri; Pleuronectiformes; Cynoglossidae. The transcript has 17 exons.